AUUGAACGCUGGCGGCAUGCUUUACACAUGCAAGUCGAACGGUAACAGGCCGCAAGGUGCUGACGAGUGGCGAACGGGUGAGUAAUGCAUCGGAACGUGCCCAGUCGUGGGGGAUAACGCAGCGAAAGCUGCGCUAAUACCGCAUACGAUCUAUGGAUGAAAGCGGGGGAUCGCAAGACCUCGCGCGAUUGGAGCGGCCGAUAUCAGAUUAGGUAGUUGGUGGGGUAAAGGCUCACCAAGCCAACGAUCUGUAGCUGGUCUGAGAGGACGACCAGCCACACUGGGACUGAGACACGGCCCAGACUCCUACGGGAGGCAGCAGUGGGGAAUUUUGGACAAUGGGCGCAAGCCUGAUCCAGCAAUGCCGCGUGCAGGAAGAAGGCCUUCGGGUUGUAAACUGCUUUUGUACGGAACGAAAAGGUCUGGGUUAAUACCCUGGGCUCAUGACGGUACCGUAAGAAUAAGCACCGGCUAACUACGUG
RNAcentral lists this ribosomal RNA (482 nucleotides) under uncultured bacterium. RNAcentral describes it as "bacterial SSU rRNA". It matches the Rfam family "Bacterial small subunit ribosomal RNA", at positions 30 to 507 of the family's 1533-position model. The record is from RNAcentral.